RNAcentral lists this transfer RNA (84 nucleotides) under Arsenophonus nasoniae (son-killer infecting Nasonia vitripennis). RNAcentral's name for it is "tRNA-Ser". Lineage: Bacteria; Pseudomonadati; Pseudomonadota; Gammaproteobacteria; Enterobacterales; Morganellaceae. The record is from RNAcentral.
AGGCCUUUAUUUACAAUGACUUAGAAAUACACCUACUAUCUUCUAAGCCGUAGGUCACAGGUUCGAAUCCUGUAGGGCGUGCCA